UACGUAGGGGGCAAGCGUUGUCCGGAAUUAUUGGGCGUAAAGAGCUUGUAGGCGGUUUGUCGCGUCUGCUGUGAAAAUCCGGGGCUCAACCCCGGACUUGCAGUGGGUACGGGCAGACUAGAGUGUGGUAGGGGAGACUGGAAUUCCUGGUGUAGCGGUGAAAUGCGCAGAUAUCAGGAGGAACACCGAUGGCGAAGGCGGCGAUCUGGGAAGAUACUGACGCUGGAGGUGACGAAAGCGUGGGGAGCAAACAGG
RNAcentral lists this ribosomal RNA (255 nucleotides) under uncultured bacterium. RNAcentral's name for it is "partial 16S ribosomal RNA". It matches the Rfam family "Bacterial small subunit ribosomal RNA", at positions 524 to 776 of the family's 1533-position model. The record is from RNAcentral.